GACGAACGCUGGCGGCGUGCUUAACACAUGCAAGUCGAACGGAAAGGCCCUGCUUGCAGGGUACUCGAGUGGCGAACGGGUGAGUAACACGUGGGUGAUCUGCCCUGCACUUCGGGAUAAGCCUGGGAAACUGGGUCUAAUACCGGAUAGGAGCCAUUUUUAGUGUGAUGGUUGGAAAGUUUUUUCGGUGUAGGAUGAGCUCGCGGCCUAUCAGCUUGUUGGUGGGGUAAUGGCCUACCAAGGCGGCGACGGGUAGCCGGCCUGAGAGGGUGGACGGCCACAUUGGGACUGAGAUACGGCCCAGACUCCUACGGGAGGCAGCAGUGGGGAAUAUUGCACAAUGGGCGCAAGCCUGAUGCAGCGACGCCGCGGGGGGGAUGACGGCCUUCGGGUUGUAAACUCAUUUCGCUAGGGACGAAGCUUUUUGUGACGGUACCUAGAGAAGAAGCACCGGCUAACUACGUG
This 465-nucleotide ribosomal RNA is filed under the name uncultured bacterium. RNAcentral describes it as "partial 16S ribosomal RNA". It matches the Rfam family "Bacterial small subunit ribosomal RNA", at positions 28 to 507 of the family's 1533-position model. The record is from RNAcentral.